GCAGCCGCGGUAAUUCCAGCUCCAAUAGCGUAUAUUAAAGUUGUUGCAGUUAAAAAGCUCGUAGUUGAAUUUCGGGGUUAGUAGGUUGGUCGUGCCACUGGUAUGUACUGGUUCUACUGAUCCCUCCUUCUUGUAGAACCGUAAUGCCAUUAAUUUGGUGUUGCGGGGAAACAGGACUGUUACUUUGAAAAAAUUAGAGUGUUUAAAGCAGGCUAACGCUUGAAUACAUUAGCAUGGAAUAAUGAAAUAGGACGAUCGAUCCUAUUUUGUUGGUUUCUAGGAUUGACGUAAUGAUUAAUAGGGAUAGUUGGG
RNAcentral lists this ribosomal RNA (312 nucleotides) under uncultured Glomus. Its description in RNAcentral is "SSU rRNA". It matches the Rfam family "Eukaryotic small subunit ribosomal RNA", at positions 570 to 886 of the family's 1831-position model. Lineage: Eukaryota; Fungi; Glomeromycota; Glomeromycetes; Glomerales; Glomeraceae. The record is from RNAcentral.